RNAcentral lists this ribosomal RNA (253 nucleotides) under uncultured bacterium. RNAcentral's name for it is "partial 16S ribosomal RNA". It matches the Rfam family "Bacterial small subunit ribosomal RNA", at positions 524 to 776 of the family's 1533-position model. The record is from RNAcentral.
UACGAACUGCGCGAACGUUAUUCGGAAUCACUGGGCUUACAGGGUGCGUAGGUGGCAUUGAAAGUAGGGUGUGAAAUGCCUUGGCUCAACCAAGGCACAGCGCUCUAAACUACUGUGCUUGAGGAAGCUAGAGGUGAGCAGAACUGAUGGUGGAGCGGUGAAAUGCGUUGAUAUCAUCAGGAAUACCGGAGGCGAAGGCGGCUCACUGGGGCUUUUCUGACGCUGAGGAACGAAAGCCAGGGGAGCAAACGGG